UACGGAAGGUGCAAGCGUUAUCCGGAUUCACUGGGUUUAAAGGGUGCGUAGGUGGGAAUGUAAGUCAGUGGUGAAAUCUCCGUGCUUAACAUGGAAACUGCCAUUGAUACUAUGUUUCUUGAAUCUUCCGGAGGUUAGCGGAAUAUGUCAUGUAGCGGUGAAAUGCUUAGAUAUGACAUAGAACACCAAUUGCGAAGGCAGCUAACUACAGGGGCAUUGACACUGAUGCACGAAAGCGUGGGGAUCAAACAGG
This 253-nucleotide ribosomal RNA is filed under the name uncultured bacterium. RNAcentral describes it as "partial 16S ribosomal RNA". It matches the Rfam family "Bacterial small subunit ribosomal RNA", at positions 524 to 776 of the family's 1533-position model. The record is from RNAcentral.